UUUCUCUCCCAAAUGGGGUUUUGGUCUCCUUCUCUGCUGCGUUUCUUCUGCUAAUUCUUAGGCCCAGAGGAAAGGUGGGCGCAAGUCGCCGAUUCCAUGGCGCUGGUGAUGUCUUGGUUAAUUUGUGUUGCUUCUGUUGGACCAUACUUUUUCUUGGUGCUUGAGGAUUAGGGUUCCAAGGGAUGCCGACGUUGGCAUCUGCUACGUGACUCUUCUUUUGGCGUGGCUCAUGACUGGUGAUCUGAAGUCAGAGUAAUAUGGUUUUUUUCUGAUGGUCCAUAAUUAUGUCCGAUCAUACGGUCAACAUUUGAGGAUUAAGUAAUUCAGCACUGCACUACUCUUCUGGAGAUCCCUACCUCAUACUCUUUGUUCUCUUCUUUGUUGAAAAUUUUCUGUUGCCAUCAGACUCUGUGUUACAUGUUAACAACAACAACAAGAGCGGUUUCUAGGCACUGAUUGCAGCGGAAUUUUGAAAUGGGGGUUGCAAAUAAAACUUCUUGGUUUCUUAAGAUGAAUCCCAUCGGGAAGUGACUCGCUCGAAGGCUGACAACCCUCUUUAUGGUACUUCACUCGUUGAAUACGCUCAUAUUGAGCAAUGGAUUGACUUCAUGCCAACAGAGAUUGCCCCAAGAGUUGGAUUUGGACCUUAUCUUGCUGGGUUGAGGAAGCUGCCAUAUCUUCUUUGAAGAGGGCCCUUGGUGCUUUGAACACUCAUCUUACGUCAAAUAUAUCUCGUCGGCCAUGCUGUUACUUUGGUCGAUAUUUUUAUGAUUUGUAACUUAUAUCUUGGAUUCAAUUGAAUCUUCAUUAAAAGUUUUACCUCUGAGUUUCCGAAAGAUACUUUUGGACCGUGGUUGAUCAACCAAAUUUCUGCAAGGUGUUAGGUGAGGUAAAGACCUGUUCCAUCACAAAAAAAAGGCUUCUCAACCGAAAGAGUCCCCAAAGCCAAAAAAUCCUCUAGUCCUGCUUCCUCCCGGUAAGAUGAUAUUAGAUGAGUGGAAGAGGCUUUAUUCUAAUACGAAAAUGAACUUCCGUGAGGUUGCUAUCAAAGGUACCUUUCCUGCUUUUGUCUGGUUGUUAAACUCUAUGCAAUGAUGAUCCUUUGUUUGCCGUAGAAACAAGAUAGUAUUUGUUAUGAUAGUGAAACCGAUGUCAUCUUCUUGGGGAAAUCUGAGACAUGAUGGCAUCUUUCAUCAUUCAGUUUCUGCUGAUAAUGUGUGGCGCCUGUUAGUUAAAAGAACUGUAUGCGCUUUUUUUUUUGUCUGGUCUCUGCUAAAAUUUCAGAAAACUCCUGUUUCUUGUUGCUGCUUAUAUGUAGAUCUUUGAAUGAAGAGGACCUUUUUUUUUCUUUUGUAGCUAAAGAAGUCGGAAUUUGACAUGCAGGUAAGGCUUUAUACAUUGACCCUUCUAGCCUUCCUAGACCCUGCAGGCACGGUGGCAGGAGCCUCAUGUACAAACUGGGUUUGCCCCUUUUUUUUUUUUUAAGGAGUCAGAAUUUGACAGGAAGUUAAAUUAAUGCUACAACAGCCAGUUAUCUUUGUGAUGAUCAAAGGCCCCAUUACAGAGUUGGCCCUUUUGUAGGAACAUCACAUGAUAUUCUCACUUCAAGACUGAACCAUGCUUUUUUUCGUUUAUUAAUCUAGAUUUUUUAAAUGUUGUCUCGCAUAGUGUAACGGUUUUGUUAUGUAUGACUUCAGUUUCAGGUUUCUGGGAUAUGUAUGACCGACCCCGAGGGGUACACACUGUGGUUCUGUGACUAAAAAUACAUUAUUGACCCUGAACAAAGUGAGUGGUUUCCUCCAGCUCAUGGACUUUUUGGGUCGGAAAUGUGCAUUUGGAAAGAUGCUUGUCAAUGCUUGGGAGCCACCGUAGAAGGUAAAGGGGCUGUGGCUCUUCCGGGGCGAGGAGAUCCCACAAUUUGUGUUGGAUGAUUGCUAUGACAUGGAGCUAAGGUUAGAGAUUGCCGAUGAAGCACACGAGGAGCGAGUGACCGGAGGACCAGUAGUCAUUUGAAGGCGAGGCCCCGUCGGAUGCCGAGUAAAUGUCCUCCAUCCAGUCUGGCCCAGCCUAAUAUUAUUAGUUGUUACUAUGACUUGUAUGGCAUUGCUGAGCACUGUCUUGAAUAUUUUUGAAAUGUGAUAUUUAUAUGUGAUUGUCUGA
Molecule: long non-coding RNA, 2160 nt
Organism: Musa acuminata AAA Group (dessert banana)
Lineage: Eukaryota; Viridiplantae; Streptophyta; Magnoliopsida; Zingiberales; Musaceae
Exons: 6
Source: RefSeq, a predicted model, not a curated record